Molecule: ribosomal RNA, 322 nt
Filed under: uncultured eukaryote
Lineage: Eukaryota
Description: partial 18S ribosomal RNA
Rfam family: Eukaryotic small subunit ribosomal RNA
Source: RNAcentral
CCCUUAGAUGUUCUGGGCCGCCCGCGUGCUACACUGAGUGGAUCAGCGGGUCAGGUUGCGCGAAAGUGUUUCCUAAUCUUGAAAUCCGCUCGUGAUGGGGAUUGACGGUUGCAAUUUUCCGUCAUGAACGAGGAAUACCUUGUAAGCGCGGGUCAUCAUCCCGCGCUGAAUACGUCCCUGCCCUUUGUACACACCGCCCGUCGCUCCUACCGAUUGAGUGGUCCGGUGAGGCUUUGGGAUCUGAGCGGAAAGAGCGUUUCGCUGUUUCUGCUCGGAAAACUCAGUCGAACCUUAUCAUUUAGAGGAAGGAGAAGUCGUAACA